RNAcentral lists this ribosomal RNA (253 nucleotides) under uncultured bacterium. RNAcentral's name for it is "partial 16S ribosomal RNA". It matches the Rfam family "Bacterial small subunit ribosomal RNA", at positions 524 to 776 of the family's 1533-position model. The record is from RNAcentral.
UACGUAGGGGGCAAGCGUUGUCCGGAAUUAUUGGGCGUAAAGCGCGCGUAGGCGGCUCGGCAAGUCCGCUGUGAAAGCCCGGGGCUCAACCCCGGGAGGCGGGUGGAUACUGCUGAGCUUGAGUUCGGAAGAGGCGAGUGGAAUUCCCGGUGUAGCGGUGAAAUGCGCAGAUAUCGGGAGGAACACCAAUGGCGAAGGCAGCUCGCUGGGACGUGACUGACGCUGAGGCGCGAAAGCGUGGGGAGCAAACAGG